This 379-nucleotide unclassified non-coding RNA is filed under the name uncultured Bryobacterales bacterium. RNAcentral's name for it is "contains 16S-23S intergenic spacer region". Lineage: Bacteria; Pseudomonadati; Acidobacteriota; Terriglobia; Bryobacterales. The record is from RNAcentral.
UCCGAGUUGACCCCGGCAGUCUUCGAUGAGUCCCCGGCAUAACCCGCUGGCAACAUCGAACGAGGGUUGCGCUCGUUGCGGGACUUAACCCAACAUCUCACGACACGAGCUGACGACAGCCAUGCAGCACCUCGACCGGACCUCCUUGCGGAGUAGCAGUAUUUCUACCGCCGUUAACCGGCCGUUCGAGCCCAGGUAAGGUUCUUCGCGUUGCGUCGAAUUGAACCACAUGCUCCACCGCUUGUGCGGGCCCCCGUCAAUUCCUUUGAGUUUCAGCCUUGCGACUGUACUCCCCAGGCGGCAUAUUUAACGCGUUAGCUCCGGCACGGACAGAAUGAACUGCCCACACCAAAUAUGCAUCGUUUAGGGCGUGGACUAC